AUUGAACGCUGGCGGCAGGCUUAACACAUGCAAGUCGAGCGGGGUGAUGGUGCUUGCACUAUCACUUAGCGGCGGACGGGUGAGUAAUGCUUAGGAAUCUGCCUAUUAGUGGGGGACAACAUCUCGAAAGGGAUGCUAAUACCGCAUACGUCCUACGGGAGAAAGUAGGGGAUCACUUGUGACCUUGCGCUAAUAGAUGAGCCUAAGUCGGAUUAGCUAGUUGGUGGGGUAAAGGCCUACCAAGGCGACGAUCUGUAGCGGGUCUGAGAGGAUGAUCCGCCACACUGGGACUGAGACACGGUCCAGACUCCUACGGGAGGCAGCAGUGGGGAAUAUUGCACAAUGGGCGCAAGCCUGAUGCAGCCAUGCCGCGUGUAUGAAGAAGGCCUUCGGGUUGUAAAGUACUUUCAGCGGGGAGGAAGGCGAUAAGGUUGAUAACCUUGUCGAUUGACGUUACCCGCAGAAGAAGCACCGGCUAACUCCGUGCCAGCAGCCGCCGUAA
RNAcentral lists this ribosomal RNA (502 nucleotides) under uncultured bacterium. Its description in RNAcentral is "partial 16S ribosomal RNA". It matches the Rfam family "Bacterial small subunit ribosomal RNA", at positions 30 to 523 of the family's 1533-position model. The record is from RNAcentral.